CCAUGUGUAGCGGUGAAAUGCGCAGAGAUAUGGAGGAACACCAGUGGCGAAGGCGACUUUCUGGUCUGUAACUGACGCUGAUGUGCGAAAGCGUGGGGAUCAAACAGGAUUAGAUACCCUGGUAGUCCACGCCGUAAACGAUGAGUGCUAAGUGUUAGGGGGUUUCCGCCCCUUAGUGCUGCAGCUAACGCAUUAAGCACUCCGCCUGGGGAGUACGACCGCAAGGUUGAAACUCAAAGGAAUUGACGGGGACCC
Molecule: ribosomal RNA, 255 nt
Filed under: Staphylococcus aureus
Lineage: Bacteria; Bacillati; Bacillota; Bacilli; Caryophanales; Staphylococcaceae
Description: partial 16S ribosomal RNA
Rfam family: Bacterial small subunit ribosomal RNA
Source: RNAcentral